Molecule: ribosomal RNA, 497 nt
Filed under: uncultured bacterium
Lineage: Bacteria
Description: partial 16S ribosomal RNA
Rfam family: Bacterial small subunit ribosomal RNA
Source: RNAcentral
GAUGAACGCUGGCGGCGUGCCUAAUACAUGCAAGUCGAGCGAACGGACGAGAAGCUUGCUUUUCUGAUGUUAGCGGCGGACGGGUGAGUAACACGUGGAUAACCUACCUAUAAGACUGGUAUAACUUCGGGAAACCGGAGCUAAUACCGGAUAAUAUUUUGAACCGCAUGGUUCAAAAGUGAAAGACGGUCUUUCGGUCACUUCUAGAUGGAUCCGCGCUGCAUUAGCUAGUUGGUAAGGUAACGGCUUACCAAGGCAACGAUGCAUAGCCGACCUGAGAGGGUGAUCGGCCACACUGGAACUGAGACACGGUCCAGACUCCUACGGGAGGCAGCAGUAGGGAAUCUUCCGCAAUGGGCGAAAGCCUGACGGAGCAACGCCGCGUGAGUGAUGAAGGUCUUCGGAUCGUAAAACUCUGUUAUUAGGGAAGAACAUAUGUGUAAGUAACUGUGCACAUCUUGACGGUACCUAAUCAGAAAGCCACGGCUAACUACGUG